AAGAUCAAAGCAGAGGAAGCCACACAAUGCAGAGAAUCAACAGUGGAGCUAUGCCUAGUGAGAAGCAAAGAGACACUGGAUGGCCUGAGAGGGAAAGAGACUGAGAAAAGCUGUCAGCUUUUAGUUCCUGGUUCCAGUCCUUUGUGACGGCCAGCUUGAUUAGAGGUUUAUAACAGUUCACUACUUCAUCUACAUCCUCAAGCCAACACCUAUGAAAAAGAUAAUGGUGUCCGAUGACAGGCCUCUGCUAACAGUGUAAGGCUAUCUGUGAACU
This 274-nucleotide long non-coding RNA is filed under the name Homo sapiens (human). RNAcentral describes it as "HSALNT0373674". Lineage: Eukaryota; Metazoa; Chordata; Mammalia; Primates; Hominidae. The record is from RNAcentral.